This 253-nucleotide ribosomal RNA is filed under the name uncultured bacterium. Its description in RNAcentral is "partial 16S ribosomal RNA". It matches the Rfam family "Bacterial small subunit ribosomal RNA", at positions 524 to 776 of the family's 1533-position model. The record is from RNAcentral.
UACGUAGGGGGCAAGCGUUGUCCGGAUUUAUUGGGCGUAAAGAGCGUGUAGGCGGCCGUACAGGUCAGCUGUGAAAACUCGAGGCUCAACCUCGAGACGUCGGUUGAAACCGCACGGCUAGAGUCCGGAAGAGGAGAGUGGAAUUCCCGGUGUAGCGGUGAAAUGCGCAGAUAUCGGGAGGAACACCCGUGGCGAAAGCGGCUCUCUGGGACGGUACUGACGCUGAGACGCGAAAGCGUGGGGAGCAAACAGG